Molecule: long non-coding RNA, 385 nt
Organism: Nematostella vectensis (starlet sea anemone)
Lineage: Eukaryota; Metazoa; Cnidaria; Anthozoa; Actiniaria; Edwardsiidae
Exons: 2
Source: RefSeq, a predicted model, not a curated record
GCAUACCAGUACUAUCACAGUCAACAAAACUACAGCUCGCUUUUGCGACACAGACAAAAGACACUUUCGUUUGCGCUACACGGAAGCGCUGUGUUAUAUGGGAGUAAAUUCGCGAUAGCCUGAUAAAAAACGGACAAUUACGUUGUAAACGGGGGAUUUCAGUGUGCCCGUUCGAGUGAGGAUGGUAUAGGUUGCCAAGACAACUAGGAUAUAGAAAGUCAAUGUAUGGCAAACACAAGUCAACCACUAGCGGUCUAUCAUCAAGUUAUAGUGGCAAAAUGCCUAAUCUUUAAAGCCAAAUAAUAACAUGACCGGACAAUACAACGUUUUUGGCUAUACAAAUUGAGCUUCUUCUGUGACUUGAAUUAAACAAUUAUUUCUCGCC